Molecule: long non-coding RNA, 786 nt
Organism: Nerophis ophidion (straightnose pipefish)
Lineage: Eukaryota; Metazoa; Chordata; Actinopteri; Syngnathiformes; Syngnathidae
Exons: 2
Source: RefSeq, a predicted model, not a curated record
AAUUGUAAUUUAGUAAACUAAAAAGGCCUUAUUGGCAUGUGUUGCAAUGUUAAUAUUUCAUCAUUGAUAUAUAAACUAUCAGACUACGUGGUGGGUAGUAGUGAGUUUCAGUAGGCCUUUAAGGACAAGCGGUAGAAAAUAGAUGAAUGGGUGGAUGUUUUGAAGCCUUUGGACGCUUAGCCCUGUCAGCGACCGUAGGUUGAGGAGCACCCGCCUCUCCAGCCGCACAGGCGGGGCCCAGCAACAGCAGCAGUACUGUGGUCAUUGCGGAGGAGACAAUAAGCAAUGGCGCCUUUAUUGUUUAGAGAGGAAGAACCACUUGAUGUGUGUCAUAGCACGGCUGCAAGCCUUGUUUUCUGGUGUAAUUACAACCUGACACCGUGUUAAGAGACGCCAGCUAUCUUGCACAGCCAUCGGUACCACCACGUCAUGCCGUCAUCAUCCGGGACGGCUUUUGUGGGCGCUGCAGUCUCCUCGGAGCUCAUCUUGGAGGAAGCACACACUCUUGGCUACUGUACUGGAGCCAACUCACGCAAAGUCCGGUGGCUUUAAACGAAACAAAACCAGCAGCACUUCGGAGUCGACAAGCCUGUUUGUUGUUUGGCUCCUUGGAGUUAGCCAGUCGCUAGCUAAUGCUAACAAGCGCCGCCUAAGCUGCCGAGAGCAUUAACGUCACUUGUAAACUUCUCAAAAGCUGUUUCGUGGUGUUUGGAUUCAAUGAAAUUAACCUACAACUGAGUAAGAAUAAAAAAAAUAAAAAAUAAAAAACAUACUGAUUUUGUUGUU